Molecule: unclassified non-coding RNA, 245 nt
Filed under: uncultured Actinomycetes bacterium
Lineage: Bacteria; Bacillati; Actinomycetota; Actinomycetes
Description: uncultured actinobacterium contains 16S-23S intergenic spacer region
Source: RNAcentral
UCCGGUUUGGCACCGGCAGUCUCCAAUGAGUCCCCGGCAUUACCCGCUGGCAACAUUGGACAGGGGUUGCGCUCGUUGCGCCACUUAAGGCAACACCUCACGACACGAGCUGACGACAGCCAUGCACCACCUGUACACCAACCACAAGGGAAACCCCAUCUCUGAGGCUGUCUGGUGUAUGUCAAGCCUUGGUAAGGUUCUUCGCGUUGCGUCGAAUUAAUCCGCAUGCUCCGCCGCUUGUGCGG